AACUGAUACUACCUGCGGGAACCUGCGGAAGGAUCAUUACCGAGUUAUCCAACUCCCAACCCCUGUGAAUCAUACCUUUAAUUGUUGCUUCGGCGGGACUUCGCGCCCGCCGGGGACCCAAACCUUCUGAAUUUUUUAAUAAGUAUCUUCUGAGUGGUUAAAAAAAUGAAUCAAAACUUUUAGCAAUGGAUCUCU
RNAcentral lists this unclassified non-coding RNA (195 nucleotides) under soil metagenome. RNAcentral describes it as "partial contains 5.8S ribosomal RNA, internal transcribed spacer 2, and large subunit ribosomal RNA". The record is from RNAcentral.